This 618-nucleotide long non-coding RNA is filed under the name Homo sapiens (human). RNAcentral's name for it is "novel transcript". Lineage: Eukaryota; Metazoa; Chordata; Mammalia; Primates; Hominidae. The record is from RNAcentral.
ACAGUUUGCUGGACCUCACAGAGGUGAUUGAUGCAGCAUCCCCCCGGGAGCCGGGUGAAAUCACAGACUCCAGCAGCAGCUUCUGAGAUGACUGUGGCUAACAAAUUUUUCCAGCAACACAGAGCUGAGAGGAUUGGGAUCUCAGAGAAGAAGGAGCCCUGCAUUCUUGGCUUCAUCUGCCUGGAGUGGAGUUUCCAUCAUGCUGAGCUGGAGGUGCACGGGGCCAGGGAAUGAGCAAGUCGUAGCUCAAAUGUCCCAGACUCUUACUAUUCUUAUUGAAAUUUAGUAGGUUUUCUUGAAUAAAUGUUUCUUCAUCUGCUGUAUGCCCUUAGGACAAUUCCCAGGAACAUACAUCUAUAUUGAUAUCAAUAUAAAUAUAAAUAGAUAAUUAUGUAUGUAUAACUUUAGCAGUUUUACUUGUUCUGCUGGAAAGAAGGUCUGGAAGGUUUGCAGAGCUGCUCAUGCCACCAUUCCAGAAGUUAUCCACCAGUUCAUUGCUUUUUGCACAGUAGUAUUCCAUUGCAUGUCUAUGCCACAAUUUGUUUAUCCAUUCACCUGUUGAUGGACAUUUGAGCUGUUUCCUGUUUGAGGCUAUUACAAAUAAAGCUGCUUUACAAA